GGGCGGUUAGCUCAGCUGGGAGAGCACCUGCCUUACAAGCAGGGGGUCACAGGUUCGAGCCCUGUACCGCCCACCA
This 76-nucleotide transfer RNA is filed under the name Bacillota bacterium. Its description in RNAcentral is "tRNA-Val". It matches the Rfam family "tRNA". From Rfam's summary of the family: Transfer RNA (tRNA) molecules are approximately 80 nucleotides in length. The record is from RNAcentral. RNAcentral also lists the same sequence under 5 other names. Lineage: Bacteria; Bacillati; Bacillota.